CCUACGGGUGGCUGCAGUGAGGACUAUUGGUCAAUGGGCGCGAGCCUGAACCAGCCAAGUCGCGUGAGGGAUGAAGGUUCUAUGGAUCGUAAACCUCUUUUAUAAGGGAAUAAAGUGUGGGACGUGUCCUAUUUUGUAUGUACCUUAUGAAUAAGGAUCGGCUAACUCCGUGCCAGCAGCCGCGGUAAUACGGAGGAUCCGAGCGUUAUCCGGAUUUAUUGGGUUUAAAGGGUGCGUAGGCGGGCGUUUAAGUCAGCGGUGAAAGUCUGUGGCUCAACCAUAGAAGUGCCUGUGAUACUGGGAGGCUUGAGUAUGUUUGAGGCAGGCGGAAUGCGUGGUGUAGCGGUGAAAUGCUUAGAGAUCACGCAGAACCCCGAUUGCGAAGGCAGCCUGCCAAGCCAUGACUGACGCUGAUGCACGAAAGCGUGGGGAUCAAACAGGAUUAGAUACCCGAGUAGUC
Molecule: ribosomal RNA, 460 nt
Filed under: uncultured bacterium
Lineage: Bacteria
Description: partial 16S ribosomal RNA
Rfam family: Bacterial small subunit ribosomal RNA
Source: RNAcentral